This is a long non-coding RNA of Passer domesticus (house sparrow), 1418 nucleotides long. RefSeq lists it as uncharacterized. The transcript has 3 exons. Lineage: Eukaryota; Metazoa; Chordata; Aves; Passeriformes; Passeridae. The record is from RefSeq and is a predicted model, not a curated record.
CAUGUAGCCUUCAAAAGGAAGGAAGGAAGGAGGGAAGGACUCAAAUUAACAGAUAAAUACAGCUAAAAAUAAUUUCCUGUGUUAAGAAGUUGAAUGUUUUAAACCAGCUUGAAAAGGCUGAUCAAAAAUAUCUACAAUUGAGAAAUCCUUUCUCUUUAAAUACAACCCACUUGAAAGAGAUGUGAGGACUGAGAGACAAAGGGCUGUUCUUGUAUGAAAAUGCACAUAACAAAUAAAUGACAUAAAAGCAGAUGAAGUAACUCCGAACAGUCUCUGCUGACUCAGAUCAGUUGGAGAAGGGUUAGGGCUUUUGCAGAACUAAUGAAAGACCAGAUGGCUGGAUGGCACUGAACUUUAGAAGAUGAAUAAAGAGUAAUCGUGGAAAUGAUCAUCUGGUAAACUACAUUACAUUCCCUAGGAAAAGAACAGAAGUGAGGUUUUGGGGUUUUUUAAAGGAAAGUAAGCAUCUGACAGCAGAAACAUGAGCAAUAAACAGCAAUGAGUGAAAUUGUGAUCCCAGACAUAUGUGUUGGAGCACAUGCUGACUACAGUGGGGCAUCACAUACUUGUAACCCUGAGCAAUUUUGGAUCUUGUACCAGUACUGGUAGACAGCAGAUGCAAUACUUCAGAAAUCAUACUUGAAAAAUUAAACUCAGUUGGGUUAGAAAUGAGCACUAUCCAUGGAUUUUAAAUUGGCUGACAAGCUAUAAAAGAAGGGUAAUGAUAGAUGGUGAGACAUUGAGCUUAGGGAAAAAAAACCCAAGAAGCAAUGCUAAUGUUUAAGCACAGAACAAUUUGACUGAUGGGAACAUCUACAAGAAUCAUGUACUGCAGCUGAACAUUGACCAAGGGUGCCACAGUAGCUGUGACUGUGCUGGGAGAGGAACUCCAGAGAGUGGGCUAAGAGAAUAAUGCAAUACAGAAAUUAGAAAUAAUGGGGCAUUACAGAGGCAGAAGAGAAUAAAGGAGUGUCCUGACUAAAAACCAUUUUUUAUUUAGGAAUAGUCUCCUGUAAGAAAAGUUGCCUGAUCUAUGACUGGGUUUAAAAAUGUUUGGAUGCCAAGAAACUUUGUGGACCAAUUCCACUUAUAGGUAGCACUUACAGAAGCUGAGGCAGAGAAGCCUCAUUUCCUGCUAUGAUAUGACAGCACAUUUGCAUUUACUGGCUGCUUUUUGUAUGUAUACUAUUAAAAUUAUCUAUUUCUUGAAUUAUUAGUCCUUCAUCUAUUUACUUCCAUUAUGUUACUGCCAUGUGAGCAAGUGAAGAAAUUUAGCUUUGUGCAGUCCAUCACUUAUGUACUCCCAUGUGGCCAUCCACUGUUUUCUGUCUUCCGUCUUCCUGUGGAAAAACCAAGGCUGGCUGCAGUGCAAAGGAGCCAUCUGUAUCCACAAAGAAGCAGGAUUAAAUUCUGUAAUG